RNAcentral lists this ribosomal RNA (468 nucleotides) under uncultured bacterium. RNAcentral describes it as "partial 16S ribosomal RNA". It matches the Rfam family "Bacterial small subunit ribosomal RNA", at positions 28 to 507 of the family's 1533-position model. The record is from RNAcentral.
GACGAACGCUGGCGGCGUGCUUAACACAUGCAAGUCGAACGGAAAGGCCCUGCUUUUGUGGGGUGCUCGAGUGGCGAACGGGUGAGUAACACGUGAGUAACCUGCCCUUGACUUUGGGAUAACUUCAGGAAACUGGGGCUAAUACCGGAUAGGAGCUCCUGCUGCAUGGUGGGGGUUGGAAAGUUUCGGCGGUUGGGGAUGGACUCGCGGCUUAUCAGCUUGUUGGUGGGGUAGUGGCUUACCAAGGCUUUGACGGGUAGCCGGCCUGAGAGGGUGACCGGCCACAUUGGGACUGCGAUACGGCCCAGACUCCUACGGGAGGCAACAGGGGGGAAUAUUGCACAAUGGGCGGAAGCCUGAUGCAGCAACGCCGCGUGCGUGAUGACGGCCUUCGGGUUGUAAACCGCUUUCGCCUGUGACGAAGCGUGAGUGACGGUAAUGGGUAAAGAAGCACCGGCUAACUACGUG